AUGCCCGGUCCCCUGCUACUAGCGCACCAACCCCGGUUCCCACUGGCGCUCCGAUCCCGACGCCGCCUGUGGCCCCACUCGUGUCAUGUGGGGCCACCACCUCCUCGCCCCGCGACGCGACCGCACCAUGCAGCGCCCCUUCGGCUGCCCUGGACGGGUUCUCGUCCCUGGUCCAGACGCCCACCGCUCCACUCCUACCCGCCCCCACCCGCGCCACCGGAAUGUGGUGCCUCCCAACUUCACCCCCCCGGCGCAGCCAUCGGCUCGCGUGUUCCGACAGAGGCCUUGAUUCCGAGUCCAAGGCACGGCGUGUUCUCCUCCGUCGCCUCGGCCUUCUUAACGACGACCAACCUCUUUCCGCAGAGAUUCUUGCUAAAUACUCCAGGAUUUUUGAGGAGCCGCUCGCGGCCCAGACUGUGCAGGCGCUCGCCGAAUUCUACAGUUGGAACGUGCCCUCUAGCUUCUCCCUCGGGUCCGCGACGCCAGCCAUCUCGCCUUGCCGGCUCAUCGCCGCCUAGCCUAGACGCGCCGCUUGUACUACGUCUUGCUUGGUUUUUCCUGGAUAGUAGUCUCCGUAUUAUUUUCUGGAACACGUGCGGCCUAAACUGUCCGGCGAAGCGUAGCGCCGUCCGUUCGGUCAUUUGCACCGUUCGCCCGUUUGUGGUCUGUUUGCAAGAAACUAAGCUCUCUGAUGUUUCCCCCUACUUGGUUGCCGACUCCCUUGGGCAUGAGUUCUCCAGCUUCUACCACCUUCCCGCUGACGGCACGCGUGGUGGCAUCAUCCUCGCAUGGCGCCCCUCUGAGAUCUCCCUUACCAACCCC
This 822-nucleotide ribosomal RNA is filed under the name Triticum aestivum (bread wheat). Its description in RNAcentral is "partial small subunit ribosomal RNA". The record is from RNAcentral. Lineage: Eukaryota; Viridiplantae; Streptophyta; Magnoliopsida; Poales; Poaceae.